This 477-nucleotide ribosomal RNA is filed under the name uncultured bacterium. RNAcentral's name for it is "bacterial SSU rRNA". It matches the Rfam family "Bacterial small subunit ribosomal RNA", at positions 28 to 503 of the family's 1533-position model. The record is from RNAcentral.
GAUGAACGCUAGCGGCAGGCCUAAUACAUGCAAGUCGAACGAUAGUUAAUCUUUCGGGAUUAACGAAAGUGGCGCACGGGUGCGUAACGCGUAUGCAACCUACCCUUAACUGGGGGAUAGCCCGAAGAAAUUCGGAUUAAUACCCCAUAGUGUCCUCAGACGGCAUCAGAAGAGGAUUAAAGAUUUAUUGGUUAAGGAUGGGCAUGCGUGACAUUAGUUAGUUGGUGAGGUAACGGCUCACCAAGACCACGAUGUCUAGGGGUUCUGAGAGGAUGAUCCCCCACACUGGUACUGAGAUACGGACCAGACUCCUACGGGAGGCAGCAGUAGGGAAUAUUGGUCAAUGGGCGGAAGCCUGAACCAGCCAUGCCGCGUGCAGGAAGACGGCCUUCUGGGUUGUAAACUGCUUUUAUACAGGAACAAAUAGUCCAUGCGUGGAAAGUUGAGUGUACUGUACGAAUAAGCACCGGCUAACUC